This 757-nucleotide ribosomal RNA is filed under the name uncultured crenarchaeote AT-200_7. RNAcentral describes it as "bacterial SSU rRNA". It matches the Rfam family "Archaeal small subunit ribosomal RNA", at positions 24 to 787 of the family's 1478-position model. Lineage: Archaea; Thermoproteati; Thermoproteota. The record is from RNAcentral.
UGACUGCUAUCAGAUUGAUACUAAGCCAUGUUAGUCAUUGUAGUAAUACAAGGCAGACGGCUCAGUAACACGUAGUCAACCUAACUUAUGGACGGGGAUAACCUCGGGAAACUGAGAAUAAUAUCCGAUAGGUCAUGAUGCCUGGAAUGGUUUAUGGCUCAAAUAAUUUAUUGCCAUAGGAUGGGACUGCGGGCUAUCAGCUUGUUGGUGAGGUAAUGGCCCACCAAGGCUAUUACAGCUACGGGCUCUGAGAGGAGUAGCCCGGAGAUGGGUACUGAGACAAGGACCCAGGCCCUAUGGGGCGCAGCAGGCGAGAAAACUUUGCAAUGCGCGAAAGCUCGACAAGGUUAAUCUGAGUGGUUCCUGCUAAAGGAACCUUUUGUUAGUCGUAGAACCACUGAUGAAUAAGGGGUGGGCAAGUUCUGGUGUCAGCCGCCGCGGUAAAACCAGCACCUCAAGUGGUCAGGAUGAUUAUUGGGCCUAAAGCAUCCGUAGCCUGUUCUGUAAGUUUUCGGUUAAAUCUAUGCGCUCAACGUAUAGGCUGCCGAAAAUACUGCAGAACUAGGGAGUGGGAGAGGUAGACGGUACUCGGUAGGAAGGGGUAAAAUCCUUUGAUCUAUCGAUGACCACCUGUGGCGAAGGCGGUCUACCAGAACACGUUCGACGGUGAGGGAUGAAAGCUGGGGGAGCAAACCGGAUUAGAUACCCGGGUAGUCCCAGCUGUAAACUAUGCAAACUCAGUGAUGCAUUGGCUUGU